This 427-nucleotide ribosomal RNA is filed under the name uncultured Gammaproteobacteria bacterium. RNAcentral's name for it is "bacterial SSU rRNA". It matches the Rfam family "Bacterial small subunit ribosomal RNA", at positions 355 to 774 of the family's 1533-position model. Lineage: Bacteria; Pseudomonadati; Pseudomonadota; Gammaproteobacteria. The record is from RNAcentral.
UGGGGAAUAUUGCACAAUGGAGGAAACUCUGAUGCAGCAAUGCCGCGUGUGUGAAGAAGGCCUUCGGGUUGUAAAGCACUUUCAGACGUGAGGAAAAGUUGUUAGUUAAUAACUAACAGCCCUGACGUUAACGUCAGAAGAAGCACCGGCUAACUCCGUGCCAGCAGCCGCGGUAAUACGGAGGGUGCAAGCGUUAAUCGGAAUUACUGGGCGUAAAGCGCGCGUAGGUGGUUAUUUAAGUCAGAUGUGAAAUCCCUGGGCUCAACCUAGGAACUGCAUUUGAUACUGGAUAACUAGAGUAUGGUAGAGGUGAGUGGAAUUUCAGGUGUAGCGGUGAAAUGCGUAGAGAUCUGAAGGAACAUCAGUGGCGAAGGCGACUCACUGGGCCAUUACUGACACUGAGGUGCGAAAGCGUGGGUAGCAAACA